UAAUACUGCAGGUAGAAAUACGCUGUAUACUCGUGUAAUCGAAUUAACGUUUAAGCGGCAUAAUCUGUCGCCGACCACGAGGCCGCCUUUUUUAGGCGGUUUUUUUUAGG
Molecule: non-coding RNA, 110 nt
Filed under: unclassified sequences
Description: DUF3800-I RNA
Rfam family: DUF3800-I RNA
About the family: Actinobacteria, Firmicutes, Fusobacteria, Proteobacteria (1 example), Tenericutes (2 examples). Terminator (Clostridia)
Source: Rfam by way of RNAcentral